Molecule: ribosomal RNA, 443 nt
Filed under: uncultured archaeon
Lineage: Archaea
Description: bacterial SSU rRNA
Rfam family: Archaeal small subunit ribosomal RNA
Source: RNAcentral
UGCCGGACCUGACUGCUAUCGGAUUGAUACUAAGCCAUGCGAGUCAUUGUAGCAAUACAAGGCAUACGGCUCAGUAACGCGUAGUCAACCUAACCUAUGGACGGGAAUAACCUCGGGAAACUGAGAAUAAUGCCCGGUAGAACAUUAUGCCUGGAAUGGUUUAUGUUCCAAAUGAUUUAUCGCCGUAGGAUGGGACUGCGGCCUAUCAGUUUGUUGGUGAGGUAAUGGCCCACCAAGACUAUUACAGGUACGGGCUCUGAGAGGAGUAGCCCGGAGAUGGGUACUGAGACACGGACCCAGGCCCUAUGGGGCGCAGCAGGCGAGAAAACUUUGCAAUGUGCGAAAGCACGACAAGGUUAAUCCGAGUGAUUUCUGCUAAAGAAAUCUUUUGUUAGUCCUAGAAACACUAACGAAUAAGGGGUGGGCAAGUUCUGGUGUCAGCA